AGAGUUUGAUCCUGGCUCAGGAUGAACGCUAGCGGCAGGCUUAACACAUGCAAGUCGAGGGGUAGUAGUAGCAAUACUAUGAGACCGGCAAACGGGUGCGGAACACGUACACAAUCUACCUUUAUCUGGGGCAUAGCCCGAAGAAAUUCGGAUUAAUUCCCCAUAAUAUAAUUGGAUGGCAUCAUUUGAUUAUUAAAACUCCGGUGGAUAGAGAUGAGUGUGCGUCCCAUUAGCUAGUUGGUAGGGUAACGGCCUACCAAGGCGACGAUGGGUAGCUGGUGUGAGAGCACGACCAGCCACACGGGCACUGAGACACGGGCCCGACUCCUACGGGAGGCAGCAGUGAGGAAUAUUGGUCAAUGGACGCAAGUCUGAACCAGCCAUGCCGCGUGAAGGAUGAAGGCCUUCUGGGUUGUAAACUUCUUUUAUGUGGGAAGAAAACUACGGUUUCUACUGUAGCCGACGGUACCAUAGGAAUAAGCACCGGCUAACUCCGUGCCAGCAGCCGCGGUAAUACGGAGGGUGCAAGCGUUAUCCGGAUUCACUGGGUUUAAAGGGUGUGUAGGCGGGCUGUUAAGUCAGUGGUGAAAUCUCCGGGCUCAACCCGGAAACUGCCAUUGAUACUAUCAGUCUUGAAUUCUGUUGAGGUGGGCGGAAUAUGUCAUGUAGCGGUGAAAUGCAUAGAUAUGACAUAGAACACCAAUUGCGAAGGCAGCUCACUAAGCAGCGAUUGACGCUGAGGCACGAAAGCGUGGGGAUCAAACAGGAUUAGAUACCCUGGUAGUCC
This 787-nucleotide ribosomal RNA is filed under the name uncultured bacterium. RNAcentral's name for it is "bacterial SSU rRNA". It matches the Rfam family "Bacterial small subunit ribosomal RNA", at positions 8 to 796 of the family's 1533-position model. The record is from RNAcentral.